This 492-nucleotide ribosomal RNA is filed under the name uncultured bacterium. RNAcentral's name for it is "partial 16S ribosomal RNA". It matches the Rfam family "Bacterial small subunit ribosomal RNA", at positions 29 to 507 of the family's 1533-position model. The record is from RNAcentral.
AGUGAACGCUGGCGGUAGGCCUAACACAUGCAAGUCGAACGGCAGCACAGUAAGAGCUUGCUCUUACGGGUGGCGAGUGGCGGAAGGGUGAGGAAUACAUCGGAAUCUACUUUUUCGUGGGGGAUAACGUAGGGAAACUUACGCUAAUACCGCAUACGACCUACGGGUGAAAGCAGGGGAUCUUCGGACCUUGCGCGAUUGAAUGAGCCGAUGUCGGAUUAGCUAGUUGGCGGGGUAAAGGCCCACCAAGGCGACGAUCCGUAGCUGGUCUGAGAGGAUGAUCAGCCACAUGGGAACUGAGACACGGCCCAGACUCCGACGGUAGGCAGCAGUGGGGAAUAUUGGACAAGGGGGGCAAGCCUGAUCCAGCCAUACCGCGUGGGUGAAGAAGGCCUCCGGGUUGUAAAGUCAUUUUGUUGGGAAAGAAAAGCAGCAGGUUAACACCCCGCUGUUCUGACGGUACUCAAAGAAUAAGCACCGGCUAACUUCGUG